ACACAUAUGUCAAAUAUGGAUGAUUAUCAUUUAUAAUGUGAUGUUAAUAAUGGGGCUAUAGCUCAGUUGGAUAGAGCAAGCGCCUCCUGAAGUUCGGGCAUUCUGAUUGGAAACAUCAGACAUGAAUGUGGUCAAAUUCAAGGAAACCUAAGUUCUUAUUGGGAUAAGGCAAUCUUGAGCCAAGCUCUAAACCCCUUUUUAGAGAAGGUGCAGAGACUGGUUAUCAGCAUUUAGGGAAAAGUUUUAAUUUAAAAAGCUGAUAGCAUUACGGCCACCACCUAAGGAUAAAUACUAUCUAGGGUGAAGGGAUAGUCCAGAGAGUAAGGAAACUUACAC
This is an intron RNA of Candidatus Atelocyanobacterium thalassa isolate ALOHA, 336 nucleotides long. It matches the Rfam family "Group I catalytic intron". From Rfam's summary of the family: Group I catalytic introns are large self-splicing ribozymes. They catalyse their own excision from mRNA, tRNA and rRNA precursors in a wide range of organisms. NCBI's taxonomy places the organism in Bacteria, Bacillati, Cyanobacteriota, Cyanophyceae, Chroococcales, Aphanothecaceae. The record is from Rfam.